UGGGGGAAUUUUGGACAAUGGGCGAAAGCCUGAUCCAGCAAUGCCGCGUGUGUGAAGAAGGCCUUCGGGUUGUAAAGCACUUUUGUCCGGAAAGAAAUCCUUGGCUCUAAUACAGUCGGGGGAUGACGGUACCGGAAGAAUAAGCACCGGCUAACUACGUGCCAGCAGCCGCGGUAAUACGUAGGGUGCAAGCGUUAAUCGGAAUUACUGGGCGUAAAGCGUGCGCAGGCGGUUUGCUAAGACCGAUGUGAAAUCCCCGGGCUCAACCUGGGAACUGCAUUGGUGACUGGCAGGCUAGAGUAUGGCAGAGGGGGGUAGAAUUCCACGUGUAGCAGUGAAAUGCGUAGAGAUGUGGAGGAAUACCGAUGGCGAAGGCAGCCCCCUGGGGCCAAUACUGACGCUCAUGCACGAAAAGCGUGGGGAGCAAACAGGAUUAGAUACCCUGGUAGUCCCACGCCCUAAACGAUGUCAACUAGUUGUUGGGGGAUUCAUUUCCUUAGUAACGUAGCUAACGCGUGAAGUUGACCGCCUGGGGAGUACGGUCGCAAGAUUAAAACUCAAGGAAUUGACGGGGUCAUAGCUGUUUCCU
This 589-nucleotide ribosomal RNA is filed under the name uncultured bacterium. RNAcentral's name for it is "partial 16S ribosomal RNA". It matches the Rfam family "Bacterial small subunit ribosomal RNA", at positions 354 to 1375 of the family's 1533-position model. The record is from RNAcentral.